RNAcentral lists this long non-coding RNA (4800 nucleotides) under Brassica rapa (field mustard). Its description in RNAcentral is "long non-coding RNA (BRAP_LNC001612)". The record is from RNAcentral. Lineage: Eukaryota; Viridiplantae; Streptophyta; Magnoliopsida; Brassicales; Brassicaceae.
UCGCCACGCCUAGGAACUUAGUGUUCUUAUACUCCACGAAACAACCUUCAAGCAGCAACGCGCCGCCGGACGCGCCCCCGCAGAGACUUUGUAGUAUGCGAGCAGCUUGCGCGACGCAUCUAGCGCAAUCAUCGGAACGUGUGGAGAGGUCGCUGCGGCAGUGGUGCAUCCCGUGGACGGUUUUGCCGUAGGUUCCGACAGUGAAAUGGUCGUAUGUAAAGAUAUUAGCUGAGUUUACGAGCGAGGUGAGUAGCGAGUUGACAUUUGAGUCGUAAGAUGAUCCGGGAAGGUACUUGGAGCAAAAAGACGAUCCUCGAAAGUAGUUUGGUUGCGUACAAUGGUGGUAGUAAAGAAAAGUAUUGUCGGAAGGAGAUGAGAAGUUUCUGAUAAGAGAUGCGGCUGCGAUGACGACGGAGAUGGCAAUAAUUGUGUUUAUCGGUGACAUGACGUUCUCUUUCGCUAAUGUGCUGCUUUCGAGUGUUUUAGAAAAUAUUUAAGUAAUUAUGAGAUAAUGGCAAGCAACUCGUUAUUCUUUGGUGGCUUUUCUAUAUAAGUAAAUAAAUAAUUUUCAGAAAAUUAUUAAAUUACAUGACAUCUCACCAACUUACACGAUUAUGAAAGUGUUUCAACUACAAAAGUAGUCAUCGGAACUAAAAAAAUAAUAAUCAAAUUAAAAUAUCAAGUUUCUGAUUUAAUAAAAGGUUAGAGAGGUGAUGCUAAUGGAGGAAGGAUCGAAAUGGAGAUGGAUAUUGUUCUACCAAAAGUACAACAACGUUAUGAAUGCAACUUAAAAAACUAUAAUAAUUACUUUAAAUGAAAAUUGAGAGAAGUAGUAUUACAUCACUUACAAAAUUGACAUAAAUGUUAAUAUCAUUUCAUAGAAUUGAUAUAUAUUGAUAUCAUUUAAAUAAUUGAUGCAAAUAGUUGUCAUUUUUGCAUCAAUUAUUAACAAAAUGAUGCAAAUUAUUUGUAUCAUCACUUUCAGAGUCAUUUAAAUAAGUGAUGCAAAUUUAUUUUACAUCAUUUAACACUGAUGCAAAUAUUUAAAAUAACUGAUGUUAAACAAUCAUUUUUUUUAGUGUGAGUAUAUAAAUAAAUGGGCUGUUUAAAAGUUAAAGAAUUAAUGCUUUUGAAAUUAUUAGAGGGUUAAAGUGUGCUGGGAGAAAAUUAAACUUUAAAAUAAAUUAAAACCACAACAGCUUUAAAAGAUUAAACUCUAAUCAUGGUUUUUAGUUUGGCAAUAGGACAACAAUAAAAGCUGUGAAUUACAUUCAACUCCUCUUGUUGUAGACUUGUAGUAUGUCAUAUGGAAGAGUUCCCUUUGGAGAUUUGGAAAUAGACAAGUAUAAACAUUCUUUUAUAAAUAAUUUAGGAUGGUUAGUUUAGUUUUUCUUUCAAAACUUAAAAUAUUUACAAAACUGGUCUUUUAAAGAUAAAUUAGAAAGUGAUAUCAAAUUUGUGAAAAAAUUUCCAAAUUUUAAUUUAAAUAUUUAACGUUAUGAAUUAUCUAAUCUUUCUUCAAAUAGCCAUGUUCGCAUUGUAAAGAUCUUAUUCGACAUAAGCUUUCAUAACAUCAAAGCCGAGAUCAUUCACACGGUUGCUCAUAAUACGAAUAUGCAAAAAAAAAAAUAGCAUAUCUUAACUUAAUAUGGAUAGGAUGUAUAAGUUAUUUUCUUAAUUAUCCAUUUGAUCCAAACUUUUCUAUAUAAACUCACAUAUUAACUAAUUAAAACAGCUCAAAGAUAAAUCACUAGUUGAAAUAAAAUUUUGAGAAUAAUAGUAAGAAUUUUUCGUCAAUUCUGCUCAGUUUUAUAUUCACGAGAGAAAAAGAUCAUACACUAUUUUUAACAUAACAAUAGCAAAAAAAUACAAAACGUAGGUCAAUAGUGAUUUAAGUUUAGAUAGUACAUAUGAUGUCUUCUGAUAAAAGAGGUUCCUUUGGGUGGCCACGUGCUUAGCCCGUAUCCCUUUCUUAAACUCUACAUUGAAAAAACAUUUAUCAUAUAUAAAUCUUUUAACUAAAUUAUAUAUUAGAAGAAACUCAUGCAUAAGAGAGAAUGUUGAAUAAGUUAGACUGUGGUUACCAUUUUUAGACAAAAUAUUACAUGUGAAAAAAAAUUUAUACUUUCACAUGUAAAUUUUUUUUACCAAUCAAAGAUAUUUUAAUUCAUUUUUAUUUACUUUAGUAACUUUAGUCACUGUGAUUCCCCCAUUUUCUCUCUUUCACUCCCACCUUUUAUGCUUCUUCCUUUUUUAUAGAAAUUACCAGCACAGGCUCACAGCUUUAUAAUCAUUCUAUGACUUUCUCUUAUUAUUUCCAAAAUUAAUAUUCGACCUUUAAAAAAGAAACCAAACAGAGAAGGCUUUAUAGUUACCUUGGCCGAUGGAUCCACUUGACGAGUAACCAACGUAGCACUUGGCUAAGUAAACGUCACUCCAAGUGCUUGUUCCGCAAAACGGUUGAAGUUUCAGCCGUUGGAUCGCUUCCAUCAAACAGUCUUGACAAUCCGUUGCACUGAGAUCUCCGGUGCACUGCGCUACAGCUUGCGCUUUCCCUGACCUCUCCACUCUGUAGGACGUACCACUACUUGCAACCACGUCCACCAACACCUUAGCCUGAGUCAACUCGUCCGACUUAUACUUAUACCCAGCCGGUUUUCCGCAACUCAUAACCAUAGCCGUCGUAUCCGCCACUCCAAAGAACAUAACGUUAUCGUACUUCACUAAGCAGCCUUCGAGCUGUAAAGCGCAGCCGCUCUCACCAAAGCUGUCACUUCGGAGCAGGCUAACAGCUUGCGUGACACAACUAACGCACUCAUUGGAGGAGAGAUCACCCCGGCACUGGUGUAGCCCGUAGUUUCCGUUGACGGUGAGGUUGUUGUAUGAGUAGAUAGAAGCUGAGUUUACGAACAUGUUGAGUAGCGAGUCGACAUUUGACCUGGAAGACGAUCCUGGAAAGUACUUUGGUGGAGAGCAGUAGUGGUAGUAGACUAACGGCUCUACGGUGGGAAAUGCAAAAUUUGUGAGAAGAUAUACGGCUGCGAUGACGACGGAGAUCGAGAUAAUUGCUAUUGUCGCUGACAUGAUCACUUUCGCCGAUGUGUUACCUUUUGGCCUUUGGGUGUAUAUGUCUGUAUCACAAAAUAUGAGUAUGUAUGCAUGAGAAAGGGGCAGGCAAUUCUAUAUGCUCAGUGCGUUGAGACAUAUAUCCUUAGUGAAGUCUUUGCAAUACGUUAUUCGGUUACAUAAAAUAUAUGAAAAAUUGAUAAAGUGGCAGGCAUCUCUUUAUGUUCGGUGCGUUAAUAUAUGCAUAUACAUAUAUCAUUAUGAAGCAUUUGCAAUACGUUAUUAGGUUAUAAUAUAUAAAAUAUUCUUAGCAUUCGUACCAGAAAAGGUUAUACAAAUAUAUGAAAACAUGAUAAAGUGGCAGGCAUCUCUUUAUGCUCGGUGAAUUAAUAUAUGCAUUAGACAUUUAUCAUUAUGAAGCAUUUGCAUAACUUUAUAUGGCUAUAUAAAAUAUAACAUUCGUACCAAGGAAAGGUUAUAAAAACAUAUGAAAACUUGAUAAAAGUGGCAGGCAUCUCUUUAUGCUCAGUGUGUAUAAUAUAUGUCAAUGAAAGAAACAUUAGCAAUCGAUUAUUAAUUCAUAAAAUAUAUGAAACACAUAAAUACAUCAUUAUAUAACUGGUAGGCAGCUCCUUAUGCUCGGUAUAUCAUUAUGAAAACAUUCGCAACAGAGUUUUAGAUUGUAUAAAAUAUAUGGAAACUGCUUAAUUAAUCUAACUAGUUGGUAACUAUCCCUCCAUGAGAAAUUUCAAAAAAACAAACUAUCCAUCCAUGAGGGGUUUUCUAUAUAAAUUAAUAUAUUACAAAAUCUCACCAUAACAUUAGUUUUAAUUAAACACACUGAAAAUUAAUAUUUCCUCUAUUUCUGAAAGAUUAAAAUUAAAAAAAAAAAUAUUUUAAAUAAGAUAUAUGUUUAAAGUUCGUAUAUAAUUUUUUUAAUUAAUAAUAUUAAAUUAUAAAUUUUGAAAAUGCUGAUUUUAAUUACUGAAAUACCAUUAUAUUUAAAUAAUUAGACAUAAAUAACCAUAAAUUUAUGCAUUUAUAAUAUUAAUAUAUUGUUUCAAUAUGUGAAACGCCAAAAAAAACGAUACAACUUUUUAAAAAGAGGGAGUAUAACUUUGUUGAUAAUAUUCAAUAUUUACUUCAUUAGGUCUAUAAUAACAAAUGUCAAACAUCUGGAGUAUCAAACAAGUAUGCAUGACUUUCAACAACUUGCACGAUUUUAGAACUGUUAUAAUACUAUAUCAUGAGGAAUCGAAAUAAUUUAGUAACAAUAAAGAUCAACUUGCUGAAGUAAAAAGGUUUAACAGGUGGGUGACUAAUGGAGGAAGAAUCAUUUCUGAAGAUGGACAUUGUUUGACCAAAAUUACAGGAACAAAGUUGUGAUUGCAUUAACUUGAUUUGGUAAUUUUGUAGUAUGCGAGCAGCUUGCGCGACGCAUCUAGCGCAAUCAUCGGAACGUGUGGAGAGGUCGCUGCGGCAGUGGUGCAUCCCGUGGACGGUUUUGCCGUAGGUUCCGACAGUGAAAUGGUUGUAUGUAAAGACAUUAGCUGAGUUUACGAUCGAGGUGAGUAGCGUGUUGACAUUUGAGUCGUAAGAUGAUCCGGGAAGGUACUUGGAGAAAAAAGACGAUCCUCGAAAGUAGUUUGGUUGCGUACAAUGGUGGUAGUAAAGAAAAGUAUUGUCGGAAGGAGAUGAGAAGUUUCUGAUAAGAGAUGCGGCUGCGAUGACGAC